GCGGGCGUAGUUUAAUGGUAGAACAUGAGCUUCCCAAGCUCAGAGCGCGAGUUCGAUUCUCGUCGCCCGCUCCA
Molecule: transfer RNA, 74 nt
Filed under: Streptomyces morookaense
Lineage: Bacteria; Bacillati; Actinomycetota; Actinomycetes; Kitasatosporales; Streptomycetaceae
Also listed under: 64 other names
Description: tRNA-Gly
Rfam family: tRNA
About the family: Transfer RNA (tRNA) molecules are approximately 80 nucleotides in length.
Source: RNAcentral